AACAUCGCGCACCUGCGGGAACCUGCGGAAGGAUCAUUACACAAUAAACAUAUGAAGGCUGCACCGCCAACAGGCGGCAAGGCUGGAGUAUUUUAUUACCCUUGUCUUUUGCGCACUUGUUGUUUCCUGGGCGGGUUCGCCCGCCUCCAGGACCACAUGAUAAACCUUUUUUAUGCAGUUGCAAUCAGCGUCAGUACAACAAAUGUAAAUCAUUUACAACUUUCAACAACGGAUCUCAGA
RNAcentral lists this unclassified non-coding RNA (240 nucleotides) under soil metagenome. RNAcentral describes it as "partial contains 5.8S ribosomal RNA, internal transcribed spacer 2, and large subunit ribosomal RNA". The record is from RNAcentral.